AGUGAACGCUGGCGGUAGGCUUAACACAUGCAAGUCGAACGGCAGCACAGUAAGAGCUUGCUCUGACGGGUGGCGAGUGGCGGACGGGUGAGGAAUACAUCGGAAUCUACUUUUUCGUGGGGGAUAACGUAGGGAAACUUACGCUAAUACCGCAUACGACCUACGGGUGGAAGCAGGGGAUCUUCGGACCUUGCGCGAUUGAAUGAGCCGAUGUCGGAUUAGCCAGUUGGCGGGGUAAAGGCCCACCAAGGCGACGAUCCGUAGCUGGUCUGAGAGGAUGAUCAGCCACACUGGAACUGUGACACGGUCCAGACUCCUCCGGCAGGCAGCAGUGGGGACUAUUGGACAAUGGGGGCAAGCCUGAUCCAGCCCUGCCGCGUGGGUGAAGCACGCCUUCGGGUUGUAGAGCCCUUUUGUUGGGAACGAAAGGCAGCAGGUUAAUUCCCCGCUGUUCUGACGGUACCCAAAGAAUAAGCCCCGGCUAACUUCGUG
This 492-nucleotide ribosomal RNA is filed under the name uncultured bacterium. RNAcentral describes it as "partial 16S ribosomal RNA". It matches the Rfam family "Bacterial small subunit ribosomal RNA", at positions 29 to 507 of the family's 1533-position model. The record is from RNAcentral.